This 662-nucleotide ribosomal RNA is filed under the name uncultured organism. RNAcentral describes it as "bacterial SSU rRNA". It matches the Rfam family "Bacterial small subunit ribosomal RNA", at positions 1 to 663 of the family's 1533-position model. The record is from RNAcentral.
GGCUUAGAGUUUGAUCAUGGCUCAGGAUGAACGCUGGCGGCGUGCUUAACACAUGCAAGUCGAGCGAAGCACUUACUUUUGAUUUCUUCGGAAUGACGAGGUCUGUGACUUAGCGGCGGACGGGUGAGUAACGCGUGGGCAACCUGCCUCACACAGGGGGAUAACAGUUAUAAAUGACUGCUAAUACCGCAUAAGACCACGGCACCGCAUGGUGCAGGGGUAAAAACUCCGGUGGUGUGAGAUGGGCCCGCGUCUGAUUAGGUAGUUGGUGCGGUAACGGCGCACCAAGCCGACGAUCAGUAGCCGACCUGAGAGGGCGACCGGCCACAUUGGGACUGAGACAUGGCCCAAACUCCUACGGGAGGCAGCAGUGGGGAAUAUUGCACAAUGGGGGAAACCCUGAUGCAGCGACGCCGCGUGAAGGAUGAAGUAUUUCGGUAUGUAAACUUCUAUCAGCAGGGAAGAAGAUGACGGUACCUGACUAAGAAGCCCCGGCUAACUACGUGCCAGCAGCCGCGGUAAUACGUAGGGGGCAAGCGUUAUCCGGAUUUACUGGGUGUAAAGGGAGCGUAGACGGCUGUGCAAGUCUGGAGUGAAAACCCGGGGCUCAACCCCGGGAUUGCUUUGGAAACUGUGUAGCUGGAGUACCGGAGAGGCAAGUG